RNAcentral lists this ribosomal RNA (410 nucleotides) under bacterium enrichment culture clone ALO1_GLFRUDD03FVK3G. RNAcentral describes it as "bacterial SSU rRNA". It matches the Rfam family "Bacterial small subunit ribosomal RNA", at positions 9 to 419 of the family's 1533-position model. RNAcentral also lists the same sequence under 7 other names. The record is from RNAcentral.
GAGUUUGAUCCUGGCUCAGAUUGAACGCUGGCGGCAUGCCUUACACAUGCAAGUCGAACGGCAGCACGGGAGCUUGCUCCUGGUGGCGAGUGGCGAACGGGUGAGUAAUGCAUCGGAACGUAUCCUGGAGUGGGGGAUAACGUAGCGAAAGUUACGCUAAUACCGCAUAUUCUGUGAGCAGGAAAGCGGGGGACCUUCGGGCCUCGCGCUCUUGGAGCGGCCGAUGUCGGAUUAGCUAGUUGGUGAGGUAAAGGCUCACCAAGGCGACGAUCCGUAGCAGGUCUGAGAGGAUGAUCUGCCACACUGGAACUGAGACACGGUCCAGACUCCUACGGGAGGCAGCAGUGGGGAAUUUUGGACAAUGGGGGCAACCCUGAUCCAGCCAUGCCGCGUGAGUGAAGAAGGCCUGG